GAUCAACGCUGGCGGCGUGCCUCAGACAUGCAAGUCGAACGAUUAAGACUCUCUUCGGAGAGUGUAUAAAGUGGCGCACGGGUGAGUAACACGUAGGUAAUGUACCGAAGGGUGGGGAAUAACUUAGGGAAACUUAAGCUAAUACCGCAUAAUGCAGCGGCUCGACAUCGAGACAGUUGUUAAAGGAGCAAUCCGCCUUUUGAGCAGCCUGCGGCAGAUUAGCUAGUUGGUAAGGUAAUGGGCUUACCAAGGCUACGAUCUGUAACCGACCUGAGAGGUGGUCGGUCACACUGACACUGAAUAACGGGUCAGACUCCUACGGGAGGCAGCAGUGGGGAAUAGUUGCGCAAUGGGCGAAAGCCUGACGCAGCGACGCCGCGUGGGUGA
Molecule: ribosomal RNA, 387 nt
Filed under: uncultured bacterium
Lineage: Bacteria
Description: bacterial SSU rRNA
Rfam family: Bacterial small subunit ribosomal RNA
Source: RNAcentral